Molecule: non-coding RNA, 8061 nt
Organism: Anas platyrhynchos (mallard)
Lineage: Eukaryota; Metazoa; Chordata; Aves; Anseriformes; Anatidae
Source: RefSeq, a predicted model, not a curated record
ACAUGACAAAGAUACUUUUUUUUUUUUUUUUUUUUUUGUAGUUAAGCAUACAUUUCAUUCAAUGGUCAGAAGUGAAGAAAAAGCAUAUAGACCCAAUUAUAAAACCCUGGGUCUUGGACUUGCAUAGUCAAAACAGAUUACUUUUAUUGUAAACUAAUGAGAAUUGAAAGUUCUAGACUUAUAUGGAGGAAGGGAUAAAUAAAGGAGAAGUAAGUUCUCACGCUGCCACUGAAAUCUACAACUACAAUGAAGUUACACAAUUUUCAGGAGUCUGUGGGUUUGAAAGUUUGUUGUAUUGCAUUAACCUGCUGUAGCAGAUCAGUAACGUGAUAUGGUGUAAACCUGAUAUUCACAGCUAUCAAUAAUGCAUUUUCAGACUGCAACGCUUUAUAAAAACAGAAUUAUUCUUUCUCAAAAGAAAACUAAUUUUAAUAUUGAAUCCUCAAUAAGGUAAUAAAAAGUUGUAAAAAGACUUUUAAAGACAUUAGCAUUAAUGUGUGAUCACCAUAUCUUCUCCAAGUUUUAUUUGUAGAUGAUUUCAGUCUUUUUAUAAAGUCUCUUAGAUCUCUUUCAAGCUUCUUAAUGAAAACCAAACAAUAAGAACAGGUUACCACUAAUAUAAAUAUCUGAUUCAAUAACUAGGUUGGUCAAAACAUAUUAAGGUGCAAUCUCUAAAGGCAUUUCAGAAAUUCUCCUAUUGCAGUGGAAAUGUCCUUUCAGCAGGACAAGAGAUGGGGCAUUUAAUUUUAUGUUUAAUAUUAGAAUCUUUUUAUUUUGUGUUUAAUGUUAGAAGACAACACAUGAUCAGUUUCCACUUUAUAAAUGAGUGAGAUCUCAUAAUUCCAUUUAAUACUCAAGUUAGUAGUUUUCUUCAUCCCGAUUUGGCUUUACUUUUUUCUGCAGUUAUCAUAAUUCUUGAUGUACAAAAAUGGCAAAUAGUAUGUUCUUUAAUACCCUAUUACAGCUGUUCCUGGUUUUAUUGGUAAGGUAUAGUGAAUGUUACUGGUGUGUUAAAAAUGUUAGUGAUAGAUCCAGUAGGAAUAUACUUAAACAUCAAAUAUGAGCAAGAAAGUAGCAAACUUUGCAAUAGUUACUAGUCAGACCAUAAUCUUUUACUCCUGUGUGUAGAUCACACAGCACCUCAGGAAAAUAGUAUGUUAUUUCAUUACAGAUUUUAUUAUAUUUCACAGAAACCAUGGCUCAAAAUAAAGCUAAUAAUCAGAAUAGGAUUGAUCUAGAUGAUGAGGAACUGAGAAAGAACCACUGUAACUUGAGUGAAUUUAGACACAACUAGAAGCAACUGAAGAAUGCUUAAGAAGAAAGCAUCACUACAAUUAUUUUUAAACAUUAUGCAUUUUUUUUCCAUCAUUUGAGUAAGACGGAGUGUUUAGAAGAUGGAGUUUUCUAUGACCUCCUACUGGGAAUAGUCUCAUGCAAAGCUGCCUAGUGCUUUAUGAAGUAUAUAAAUAGGGUGACAAGUUACAGCUAAAUUUAAAAGAGGAGAUGUCAACUUCAGCAUAAUGCUUUAGAUCUCAUUACUUACAAGAUUUUUAUGUGAUACAUCUACAGCUAAGAUCAAUGGAAAUUGAAAGUUGCCUCAUUAUAGAAGAGAAAUUGCUGUUGGUAUAUCAUUUUUCAUUAAAAUCUCCCUAAACUGGAGUGUGUAUCCUUCCCAACUGUUUUGCCAGAAAAUUUAUGACACUCCAUUUGAGCUAUGAUAAUUGUUAUUUUUUGUACAUAAGGACUUGUGUUUAAAAUUAAAAAAAAAAAGUUAACACGUUUCUAUAGCACUCUUCAUUGCUCUAUUCAGUAUUUAAUAGUUAUAAUUACUCAAAAAAAAAAAAAAAAAAAAGACAAUUGGAGUUUAUAGUUAAAAUUGCAGAUGAUUUGACCUGAAGGCUUACAUGAAGAUUGUCCACAUAUGAUAAAGAGUACAAGAAAGUUACAUUAUACAUAGAUUUUUAACAGACAAGCCUGUGUAAACAUAAUUUCUCCAGUACUCAAGUCUGAAGUGCUGAUCAGUUUUCCCAUUUCUAACAAACUGAUAGAUGUUGGCACCAGGUCAGCUUAUAUUUUUAUACGUGCUAAAGAACAAGACUAUAAGUGUGCCUGGAGCACUGCAUACAAAUACAUUUAUAAAUAAAAAAAAAUCUGUAAGUAUAAAACGUUUACCAGUUUUUACUGCUUGACAGCACAAGAUUCUUUUCAGCAUUUGCUAAAUGAAUUUUCUCACCUUCUCUGUUCCUAAAAUAAACUGCUCUUUACACCUUACUACACACUCUUCACUUUUCUUAAAUAGUUUCACACAGUGCUGCCUAUGUUUGCUGUCUUUGUCUGCUGGCGUGUAAGUCAAGUUCUUUUCUCACUGUGUCCAGUCAUUAAGAUGACUGCUACAUCAUCUGAUAAAACCCUACUUUUCAUUAUGGGUAUUUCUUCAAGUAGGAUGCAUCACUAACCUUUGUAGUUUGUAAUCUCCCAUUUAAUUGUCCUUGUUUCCAAGAUUUCUUGCACUGGAACUCUGAACCUACCUAAUUUCCAUGUUUAUAUUACCAUAAAUGCCUAACAGCUCUAACCUGCUCGCCUUGCAGUCUGUCUAUAUUUACUUUUAUCUGUGGUAUCUCAUUAACAGCACAGACCACAAAAGCUCAGUGAUAAGGAGAUGAUUCAUAGAAAGCAGCUAUAACAAUGGGACUUUGUGUUUGAUUAACACAGAUCUUGUGUUUGAUCAACACAGAAGAUGUCUUCAAGAUAAAGUAAUAUUUACCCGUAAACUCCUGAUCCCUCAAGUUGCUUCAGGAUGACUGAACUAAACCUUUAUGCCAAUUUGUUUAGAUUACUCUGUAUUAUGAAUCUGAUGAUUGCAGAUACAAAGUUUGAUGCUGGAAAAAAAGAAGUAAUGAGACAUUACAGUACUGCCAACUUGCUGGGAAGAAAUUGGUGGUCUUCAGACUGCAAAGAAAGUCUUCCUAUGUGCAAAGAUGUCUUCCUAUGUGCUGGAGAUUAAAAGAGAUCCCUCCCUACAACUCUUUUCUUUUCCAAUCCCAGGCCCAUGGGAGAGCUUUGCAAUAGCAAGAAACUGGCUCCUCCAACCACAGUUUCUGGGACACUGAUAGGUUGGUACAUGAGAACCUUAAGUGGAGCUGCACAUGAAUUAAAAAUACACUGCUGACGUCAGUUUUGCACUCUUCAAUAGAUUUACAUUUUAUUAGAGGGACACCACAAUCUCAUCUCCCAUGAAUUCACAGCGGAAUUAUAACCUGAAAGCAUCAGCUCAUUAGCUCUGGGAAGUACAGAAUAAUCAGAGCACAGCAGGCAUCAGCGAUGAAUCCUACCUCUUUCACAGCCAGCCUCUGACAUGCUCUGAUGGCCAGCAAGAGGACACUGAGCAGCAACGGUACAUCAGCAAGUCAUCCUUCUCUGAAAGGGGACAUGCUUUUAGGUAAUUCUUCUUUAUGCCCUUAGAAUAUAAUAAACCAGCAAAGCAGCAAUAGGUGCAGCGAUAGGUGCAGUGAGACGACGGAAGGUUAGAAGUCCAGAAGCUGAAAUGAUACAACAGAACUCUGAAUGGGAGAUGCAGCUGGAAAUGCUGGCUGUGCACUGUGGUAGACAAAGAGAAUGAAAUUGUGACAAGUUAUGUAGCAGUCUUAGGAAAUACAUCGAUAGGGGUAUAAAAAGCAAGACCAGAGCCAGAAUGCAGAGGAAGCGGGUCAGUAAAACAGAAUGCAUGUGACAAAGAAAUAGAAAGAAUUAGAUCAGAAGGAAGGACACACACAUCAUAAGGAGUGAAGUAAGAGAAAUGAGAAACUAUCUCUGGGGUAGAGGAAAGAAGACUUAUAUGGUCAAGAGACAACAAAGAAAAGAAAAAUGAAUGAGCAAAAAUGAAGGAGUAGAAUACAAGUCACACUUUUCCAGAAGAAGAAAGGCGAGAAAAAGGCCGAGGAGAAAAAGCAAAGCAAUUAAUAAAAGGAAUGAGACAGUAGGGAUGAAGAGAAGGACAUGAAAGGGAUAUAAAAUGGCAAAAGGCACACACACUGGAGGAAACAAGUGCUCUUUUAUUUAUUCAUACUUCUGUACUUUAUGUCAUCUUCCUAGCAGGCAUCGCACAGCUCCACAGAUUUAUUUAUUUAUUUAUUUACUGGGGGGCAGGGGGAAGAAGAAGGGAUGAGUUGGCAUCACAUUGUUGAGGGAUUUACUACAGCUCUUUUUCUUCUUGUACUGCUGGACGUGUAUUUAUAGAAAUUACCUGAGAUAGUGGCUGGCACUUCUUCAGAAAUGUCAAUAUCUGAUUUGGGAUAAAGAGGAAAAUUUAUUAAAAAAAAAAAUCAUAGAAGAUACAGGUGUAUGGAAGUGCUUGGUGCCAGUUUCUCAGAAGUUACUUGCACCUUGUAAGUAUUCAGCUCCUACACAUCAUCAAACACUUUCUGCUAUGUGAAUGACAUCUGAAAUAUGAAACACUUAUGAUGUGCCAUUCCUGUAUAAAGCGUUAAUACAGGACUAAUGCUGCCUGAUGAAAUAGUUAAAAUAAUCUACAAGGAAAUGAAAAAGGCAUCCAUUUUUAAAAUGAUCUAAACCAAUUCUCCUAUUGCUUAGAUAUUUUGUUGGAAUUUUUAAGGUUUUAAAGAAUCAAAAAGGGAAGUAUGUAAAAUGUUUACUCUUUUUCUUUACCUGUUUCUUGCACAAUGGUCUGCCAAAAGAGAGACAAUUCUGUGAAAGUAACGGCAACAUGUCAAAAUGUUCUGCAUCGUGCUGUUAGUCAUUACAACAACAGUAAUAAGCACAUGGAGUAUUGUGAUGAAAACAAUUGUUGAAAUUAGCUUGGCCAGCUGUAGUAGCCUACUAGUAUUCAUUGACAGUAAUUUUUUUUAUUAAUUUCUAUGACUGCUUCUAUCUGUCUGUAGGGCAGUUUUACAAUGCCCAGAGCAGGGCUGCCAGAUUGCUGUUUCCUCCACAUCCUGGGUUUAUAUUGUAUUUCUUUUUUCCUUCAGCAAGUAUUUGCUCUUGAUGCUUAAUUCAGAAGCUUCUUGCUUCUGUGCUGGGAAUACAAAUAUGGAAUUGGUUCUCCAAUUAGCAAACAUUUUCAGUUGCAAAACUAUCAAAUCAAUACCAUACUCUCAGCAAUCAUUUCCUUUACAUGUGUCAUUUUUUUUCACAAGAGCACUCAAUGCCCUUUUUUUCCCUUUGCUUCUUUUUUUCUUUUUUUUGUUGUGUGUGUGUGUGUGUGUGUGUGUGUGUGUGCGCUAAUUAACUGCCUGUCUGUCUUGUCUAAGAUGCAGAGUUUAAUUCCAAAAUGAAAGACUUCUGAAAAAUCCAAGGAAGUUCUAUUUCAAAAAUAAAUAUGCUGCCCUUUCCUUAUGACAGUUUUCUUAUGUAAAUAGAAACUCAAAGACAAGAAAUCAUUGCUCUGGCGGAAUUAUACUCUCCCAUACUGAACCACUUGUAACAAAUGCAAUAGAUACCAGCAAUUAUAUUGAUAUGUAAUUACUGUGGUUAUUUAUAGUUAAAUGAAAACUCUGUUAAGUGACACCUGUAUCAGAAAACAUUCUUAUGGAUUUUGAUAGAUCUUUUAUUUGUUCCCUUAGUUAGAAUGUAUCUUAAUUUACUUGAAUAUGAGGGUACUAUCUUUUUGUUCUUUUAUAGUCUUGAUGUAAUGUCUGGCUGUUAUUUUCAUUCCAGAAAUAGCACAAUAUAGCAUGAAAAUUGCUUAAGCCUUUUGCUGAUGGUUUAAUUAAUAGGUACGAAUGUCACAUUUUGCAGUUUCCAGAUCCGUUUAAUUGAAAUAAAGGUGCUAAGCUGAAUUUUCAUACUGACUUUGCACUGGCAUUUGAUCACAUGGAUUCAUGAAAGACAAAUCCAUUAAAGAAUUACUAAAUGCAUGGACAUGCCUAGAAAUGCAACUAACUUAGAGAGUAGUAACCAAUCUGCAGUCUUGAAGACUAAUAGAGGGAAUGGACACGGACAGAUUGUUCUCUGUCUGAUGAUAGCAUAUCAAAGAACUGGCUUAACAGAUUGUGCUGUCUGGUCAAGUUCCUGAGAUAACUUAAUGUACUACUAUGUGUUUUUGGCAGGAUGAUCUCUUCCACAGCAAUGAGCUAUGCUUGGAAAGAACCCCCUUAGUACUAUUGCCAGUAUCUCUAUUUUUCUCAUUGUGUUCUGUAAGUUUUGCAGUGCUCUUCCUCAUUCUUGGACAAUCAAUGAGAACAACUUGGGUCAGAUUUACAGAUUCGUGAUGGAUGAUAUUUUCAAAAGUAAACUACAUGGACAGUACACUUAAUUCUAAUUAAAAUCACUGGCCUAAAUACGGGACUGCUGAUGCUUCUAUCAGAGUUCAUUUGCAUCUUCACACACACAAACAUCUCUUUAGAUCUAAUCUUUCAUUUAUACUUUCCUAGACGCACAUCCUCCAUGAUCUAAAGGAUAUAGUGAAAUGUCCUGCACAAUCUUUGAACCACAUAUAAAGAGUAGCAGAGGAUUCAACAAAGCUUCCUAUUCUGUGGCUAGUUGCAUCUCAUUUAGACACACUGAUCUCUGAGAUAAAAACUUUUUUGUAGCUCAGGCAUCUUUUGCAUCUUCUGGCUUUGCUACCUCAGGAACACACCAACAAUCAGGAAAACACGGUAAAGGAUGGGAUAAUCAAGAUUUCAUACCUAAACCAUGGUGUUGGAAAAAUAUUCUAUAUUAUCUCAAGAGGUGUAGCUACAACAUUCUUGUCACUUGAAACAGUCCUUCCCCAAAUCACAGAAUGGCCUAACAGUUCAUUUAUGACAUGGUAACUGAACCACAGGCAUACCUCAGCAUUUGGGGAUAAAAAUCACAUAGUGAGAAGCUCAGCAGAAAGAUUUUAACCAAAUUCAUUUUGUGAUUACAAAAAUACACUAUUUUACCUUCCUGGAAAUUAAUAUGAAUGUCUGUUUCUAGUGGAUUUACAGCUCUAAGAAACUCAAACUGCACAUAUUAUUUUGGUAUUGGUUUAAUUAUUUCUUCAUCACUAGUCACUCCAUGUUCUCUAUUUGUUAACAGUCACCAAUCAACACAUCAGGUAACUGCAGUCCAUGAUCAUAAUCACUAUCACCAUUCCAUCACAAUAUAAGCAACUUUAACUGCUUUCAUUCCAAGGACACCUGAAGGGAGUUCUUUAAUGUCCCUAUGUAUCCUCAUUUAGUUAAACUACAGCAUUUUGAGAUAAUUGUGUAGAAACUAAAGAGCCAUAAUCAGCACUUUCUUAGAUGUCUGAAUCUAUUUUUUUCCCUUUUUGUAGGAAGGUGAUUAAUGAAUUGUUGACAGUAAUAAAGAAGCAGACAUCUUGGAGAUAUUAUUAUGGAUCACAUAUAACUUGAAACACCGAGUCUGCCUCCGUAAAACAUUUUAUUUGUUAUAUUGUGCAAAUCGAUUGUAAUUUGCUACUGGCUUCUUUUCAAAUACAUUUCUUCAGUGCUGCUGUGGUAAAUAAUAAAUCACACUAACUAUUAUUUCAAAAUUGAGUGUUCCAAUUUAGUUAUGAAUGGAGAAAGUAAAGAUGCUUCGGGAUAUGAAAUCCUAUAGCAGUUCAGAGAAAAAUAGCUUUUUAAGGGCAACCACAUCAAAAAUCAUUAACAGACUACACUGUACUAGCAUGCAUGCUUUUGUGAGUGUAGGAAGCCUAACAAAACACUGAGAAGGUUAUGCUAAACUAAAUAUUUUGUUUACCUGCCUUUUGUCCCCCACCAAAAAAAAAAAAAAGACCUCCCUGACAAAAAAUAAAAGUAAAAAGAAAUAAGGAAAAAAAAAAGAAAGCAUGAUGCACCAAGAAGCAUAAGUUAAAAUUUAAAGAGAGGAAUAUGGGAACAACACAAACACAUGCAGAAACAUACUGCACAUGCUGAAAGAUACUGGAAUAUACAAAGAGUUGAACAAAGAACAGAUAUCCACCUGGUCAUUAGCAGAUUAAAAACAAAGAAUGUCAUUUUAUUUGGUAAACAAAUUAAUUUGCCAAAAACCUUUGACCAUCUUAAGUCAGUGGGUGUACACUAUGACUUCAGUUGGAUCUACAUUUCAUCUCUGCUAUAGCUCCAACUUUACAAUCUA